UACGUAGGGGGCGAGCGUUAUCCGGAAUUACUGGGCGUAAAGCGCACGCAGGCGGUUCGCCAAGGUUGGAGUGACAGUUGUCGGCUCAACCGACAAAGGACUUCAAAAACUGGUGAACUUGAGGACGAGAGAGGAACAUGGAACUCCAGGUGUAGUAGUGAAAUGCGUAGAUAUCUGGAAGAACACCAAAGGCGAAGGCAAUGUUCUGGCUCGUUUCUGACGCUCAGGUGCGAAAGCCAGGGGAGCGAACGGG
This 253-nucleotide ribosomal RNA is filed under the name uncultured bacterium. RNAcentral's name for it is "partial 16S ribosomal RNA". It matches the Rfam family "Bacterial small subunit ribosomal RNA", at positions 524 to 776 of the family's 1533-position model. The record is from RNAcentral.